CUCAAAUUUGAAAUCUGGUCCCCUUUGGGGGCCCGAGUUGUAAUUUGAAGAGGAUGCUUUUGGCGAGGCGCCGUCCGAGUUCCCUGGAACGGGACGCCGCAGAGGGUGAGAGCCCCGUACGGUCGGACGCCGAGCCUCUGUAAAGCUCCUUCGACGAGUCGAGUAGUUUGGGAAUGCUGCUCAAAAUGGGAGGUAAACCCCUUCUAAAGCUAAAUACUGGCCAGAGACCGAUAGCGCACAAGUAGAGUGAUCGAAAGAUGAAAAGCACUUUGAAAAGAGAGUUAAAAAGCACGUGAAAUUGUUAAAAGGGAAGCGCUUGCGACCAGACUUGCGCCCGUCGGAUCAACCGUCGCUUGCGGCGGCGCACUCCGGCGGGCUCAGGCCAGCAUCAGUUCGUCCGGGGGGAGAAAGGCGGCGGGAAUGUGGCUCUUCGGAGUGUUAUAGCCCGCCGUGUAAUACCCUCGGGUGGACUGAGGACCGCGCGUAUGCAAGGAUGCUGGCGUAAUGGUCGUCAGCGACCCGUCUUGAAACACGGACCAAGGAGUCGUCCUAAUAUGCGAGUGUACGGGUGUCAAACCCCUGCGCGUAAUGAAAGUGAACGGAGGUGAGAGCUUCGGCGCAUCAUCGACCGAUCCUGAUGUUCUCGGAUGGAUUUGAGUAAGAGCAUAUUGGGCCGGACCCGAAAGAAGGUGAACUAUGCCUGUGUAGGGUAAAGCCAGAGGAAACUCUGGUGGAGGCUCGCAGCGGUUCUGACGUGCAAAUCGAUCGUCAAACAUGGGCCAUGGGGGCGAAAGACUAAUCGAACCUUCUAGUAGCUGGUUUCCGCCGAAGUUUCCCUCAGGAUAGCAGUGUUGAAUUUCUCAGUUUUAUGAGGUAAAGCGAAUGAUUAGGGACUCGGGGGCGCUUUUUAGCCUUCAUCCAUUCUCAAACUUUAAAUAUGUAAGAAGCCCCCUUGUUACUUC
Molecule: ribosomal RNA, 962 nt
Filed under: Scopulariopsis candida
Lineage: Eukaryota; Fungi; Ascomycota; Sordariomycetes; Microascales; Microascaceae
Description: eukaryotic LSU rRNA
Rfam family: Eukaryotic large subunit ribosomal RNA
Source: RNAcentral